AUCUGGACUCAACUUUAGACCACUCUAUGAUACAUACAAAGCAGAAGUAAUGGUUGCAACAAUCGAUAACACCUCUGAUAAUUGUGGUUCCAUGUCCAGUUUCAGUCAAGCAAAUUCCACAGCAAUCCUGUUCCGUCUCUAAAUUCGAAAGUUCAAGCUUCGAUUUGCCUUUGUCAGAUGAGGACGGGGAUGAUUCAGGUGAACUCAGGGUUAGGGUUUUGACACGUUUGUUUGGAUGCAUUUCCGGAACCCCGAUAUCUUCCUCGUCAGACGCCAUAUCCAAGAAUUCUAGCUAGCCGGAGUAUUGGAAUCGCCG
This 316-nucleotide unclassified non-coding RNA is filed under the name Hevea brasiliensis (rubber tree). Lineage: Eukaryota; Viridiplantae; Streptophyta; Magnoliopsida; Malpighiales; Euphorbiaceae. The record is from RNAcentral.